AUACGUAGGUGGCAAGCGUUGUCCGGAUUUAUUGGGCGUAAAGCGAGCGCAGGCGGUUUUUUAAGUCUGAUGUGAAAGCCUUCGGCUCAACCGAAGAAGUGCAUCGGAAACUGGGAAACUUGAGUGCAGAACCGAGGACAGUGGAACUCCGUGUGUAGCGGUGAAAUGCGUAGAUAUAUGGAAGAACACCAGUGGCGAAGGCGGCUGCCUGGUCUGUAACUGACGCUGAGGCUCGAAAGUAUGGGUAGC
This 249-nucleotide ribosomal RNA is filed under the name uncultured bacterium. RNAcentral's name for it is "partial 16S ribosomal RNA". It matches the Rfam family "Bacterial small subunit ribosomal RNA", at positions 523 to 769 of the family's 1533-position model. The record is from RNAcentral.